Long non-coding RNA from Stegostoma tigrinum, 580 nucleotides. RefSeq lists it as uncharacterized. The transcript is spliced from 3 exons. Lineage: Eukaryota; Metazoa; Chordata; Chondrichthyes; Orectolobiformes; Stegostomatidae. The record is from RefSeq and is a predicted model, not a curated record.
UGACGGAAGAUUCUGACCAGGCUCCCAGUUAGAACCUUACUUCCAUUCUAAUAGUUCUGUCCUAGUGCAGAAUUAUCAGGGGAAGACAACUCAUGGUCCCUUUUCACAGAAUCAGCUACUGUAUUGUGAAGUGGAGAGGUCAUAACAGCCACUUUGACAGCUUUUAUCAAAUGGUUAAAGGAGACAAGAUAAGUGUGAUAUUAAGGUGCUGGAAAGGAAUGUGUCAGAUGGGUAAAUUGAGUAGCGUACCAGGAUCAGUCAACGAAUAUCCAUGGGAUUAUGAAAUUAUAUUCUACCAUAUGUUUCAAAAUCCUUAGAUUUGUGUGAUGCUGCCAGGCUUGCUCAGUCUCUCCAGCAUUUAAGAUUAGAUCAUACACCGUUCUUUAUUCACUUAUUUGAUUAAAAAAAAUGUUUUUAAAGUGGGAGCAAGAAAGAAGUGAUGAUAUCUCUAAUAUUGUAGUAUGUUUCAAGUCCACUAUCAACAGAGGUGUAUCAUAAUAUGUCUGACCAGAUUAAUUUGAAACAUUUUUAUUAUGAGGGAAAAGGUGGUACUGAGGGCUGGUAAGAGCUACGCAGCCGA